This 69-nucleotide transfer RNA is filed under the name Alpheus bellulus. RNAcentral describes it as "tRNA-Gly". Lineage: Eukaryota; Metazoa; Arthropoda; Malacostraca; Decapoda; Alpheidae. The record is from RNAcentral.
GUCUUUCUAGUAUACCCUAGUACAGCUGACUUCCAAUCAGCCAGACUGAGCUUCCCCUCAGGAAUGACA